CUUUCCCUCUUUCUUCCUGCUUUCCCCCUGCACGUCGACCGGCAGCGCGGGCUUCGGCCUGGCGGCGAGUGGCGAACGGGUGAGUAAUACAUCGGAACGUGCCCAGUAGUGGGGGAUAGCUCGGCGAAAGCCGGAUUAAUACCGCAUACGACCUGAGGGUGAAAGCGGGGGAUCUUCGGACCUCGCGCUAUUGGAGCGGCCGAUGGCAGAUUAGCUAGUUGGUGGGGUAAAGGCCUACCAAGGCGACGAUCUGUAGCUGGUCUGAGAGGACGACCAGCCACACUGGGACUGAGACACGGCCCAGACUCCUACGGGAGGCAGCAGUGGGGAAUUUUGGACAAUGGGCGAAAGCCUGAUCCAGCAAUGCCGCGUGUGUGAUGAAGGCCUUCGGGUUGUAAAGCACUUUGGGCGGGAACGAAAAGGACUGUGCCAAUACCACGGUUCGAUGACGGUACCCGCAGAAUAAGCACCGGCUAACUACGUG
This 484-nucleotide ribosomal RNA is filed under the name uncultured bacterium. RNAcentral's name for it is "partial 16S ribosomal RNA". It matches the Rfam family "Bacterial small subunit ribosomal RNA", at positions 36 to 507 of the family's 1533-position model. The record is from RNAcentral.